This 497-nucleotide ribosomal RNA is filed under the name uncultured bacterium. RNAcentral's name for it is "partial 16S ribosomal RNA". It matches the Rfam family "Bacterial small subunit ribosomal RNA", at positions 29 to 507 of the family's 1533-position model. The record is from RNAcentral.
AAUGAACGCUGGCGGCGUGCCUAAUACAUGCAAGUCGAACGAACGGACGAUAAGCUUUCUUCUCUGAUGGUAGCGGCGGACGGGCGGGUAACACGUGGAUCACCUACUUAUAAGACUGGGAUAACUUCGGAAAACCGUAUCUACUACCAGCUAAUAUGUUGAACCGCAUGGUUCAAAGGUGAAAGACGGUCUUGCUGUCACUUAUAGCUGGAUCCGCGCUGGAUUAGCUAGUUGGUAAGGUAACGGCUUACCAAGGCAACGAUGCAUAGCUGACCUGAGAGGAUGAUCGGCCACACUGGAACUGAGACACGGUCCAGACUCCUACGGGAGGCAGCAGUAGGGAAUCUUGGACAAUGGGCGCAAGCCUGACGCAGCAACGCCGCGUGAGUGAUGAAGGCCUUCGGAUCGUAAAACUCUGUUAUUAGGGAAGAACAUCUGUGUAAGAAUACGUGGACAUCUUGACGGUACCUAAUGAGAAAGCAACGGCUAACUACGUG